RNAcentral lists this transfer RNA (82 nucleotides) under Imasa heleensis. RNAcentral's name for it is "tRNA-Tyr". It matches the Rfam family "tRNA". Rfam says of the family: Transfer RNA (tRNA) molecules are approximately 80 nucleotides in length. Their secondary structure includes four short double-helical elements and three loops (D, anti-codon, and T loops). The record is from RNAcentral. Lineage: Eukaryota; Malawimonada; Malawimonadea; Malawimonadida; Imasidae.
GAAGAAAUGGCUGAGUGGUUAAGGCGAUAGGCUGUAAACUUAUUGUCGUGAGACGUCGUAGGUUCGAAUCCUACUUUCUUCA